RNAcentral lists this ribosomal RNA (301 nucleotides) under uncultured bacterium. Its description in RNAcentral is "partial 16S ribosomal RNA". It matches the Rfam family "Bacterial small subunit ribosomal RNA", at positions 509 to 809 of the family's 1533-position model. The record is from RNAcentral.
CAGCAGCCACGGUAAUACGUAGGGUGCAAGCGUUAAUCGGAAUUACCGGGCGUAAAGCGUGCGCAGGCGGUCCGUUAAGACAGAUGUGAAAUCCCCGGGCUUAACCUGGGAACUGCAUUUGUGACUGGCGGGCUAGAGUAUGGCAGAGGGGGGUAGAAUUCCACGUGUAGCAGUGAAAUGCGUAGAGAUGUGGAGGAAUACCGAUGGCGAAGGCAGCCCCCUGGGCCAAUACUGACGCUCAUGCACGAAAGCGUGGGGAGCAAACAGGAUUAGAUACCCGCGUAGUCCCUGUCUCUUAUAA